Molecule: ribosomal RNA, 253 nt
Filed under: uncultured bacterium
Lineage: Bacteria
Description: partial 16S ribosomal RNA
Rfam family: Bacterial small subunit ribosomal RNA
Source: RNAcentral
UACGUAGGGGGCAAGCGUUGUCCGGAAUUAUUGGGCGUAAAGAGCUUGUAGGCGGUCUGUCGCGUCUGCUGUGAAAAUCCGGGGCUCAACCCCGGACUUGCAGUGGGUACGGGCAGACUAGAGUGUGGUAGGGGAGACUGGAAUUCCUGGCGUAGCGGUGAAAUGCGCAGAUAUCAGGAGGAACACCGAUGGCGAAGGCAGGUCUCUGGGCCGCUACUGACGCUGAGGCGCGAAAGCGUGGGGAGCGAACAGG